UACGAAGGGGGCUAGCGUUGCUCGGAAUCACUGGGCGUAAAGCGCACGUAGGCGGAUCUUUUAAGUCAGGGGGUGAAAUCCCAAGGCUCAACCUUGGAACUGCCUUUGAUACUGGGGAUCUCGAGUCCGGAAGAGGUUGGUGGAACUGCGAGUGUAGAGGUGAAAUUCGUAGAUAUUCGCAAGAACACCAGUGGCGAAGGCGGCCAACUGGUCCGGUACUGACGCUGAGGUGCGAAAAGCGUGGGGAGCAAACAGGG
This 257-nucleotide ribosomal RNA is filed under the name uncultured bacterium. Its description in RNAcentral is "partial 16S ribosomal RNA". It matches the Rfam family "Bacterial small subunit ribosomal RNA", at positions 524 to 777 of the family's 1533-position model. The record is from RNAcentral.